AACGAACGCUGGCGGCAUGCCUAACACAUGCAAGUCGAACGAGACCUUCGGGUCUAGUGGCGCACGGGUGCGUAACGCGUGGGAACCUGCCCUUAGGUUCGGAAUAACUCCCCGAAAGGGGUGCUAAUACCGGAUAAUGUCUUCGGACCAAAGAUUUAUCGCCUUUGGAUGGGCCCGCGUUGGAUUAGCUAGUUGGUAGGGUAAAAGCCUACCAAGGCGACGAUCCAUAGCUGGUCUGAGAGGAUGAUCAGCCACACUGGGACUGAGACACGGCCCAGACUCCUACGGGAAGCAGCAGUGGGGAAUAUUGGACAAUGGGCGAAAGCCUGAUCUAGCAAUGCCGCGUGAGUGAUGAAGGCCUUAGGGUUGUAAAGCUCUUUUACCCGGGAUGAUAAUGACAGUACCGGGAGAAUAAGCUCCGGCUAACUCCGUG
Molecule: ribosomal RNA, 433 nt
Filed under: uncultured bacterium
Lineage: Bacteria
Description: partial 16S ribosomal RNA
Rfam family: Bacterial small subunit ribosomal RNA
Source: RNAcentral